RNAcentral lists this ribosomal RNA (253 nucleotides) under uncultured bacterium. Its description in RNAcentral is "partial 16S ribosomal RNA". It matches the Rfam family "Bacterial small subunit ribosomal RNA", at positions 524 to 776 of the family's 1533-position model. The record is from RNAcentral.
UACAGAGGUCUCAAGCGUUGUUCGGAUUCAUUGGGCGUAAAGGGUGCGUAGGCGGCGCGGUAAGUCGGGUGUGAAAUCUCGGAGCUUAACUCCGAAACUGCAUUCGAUACUGCCGUGCUUGAGGACUGGAGAGGAGACUGGAAUUUACGGUGUAGCGGUGAAAUGCGUAGAUAUCGCAAGGAAUACCAGAGGCGAAGGCGGCUACCUGGACAAUUGCUGACGCUCAGGCACGAAAGCGUGGGGAGCAAAAGGG